This is a long non-coding RNA of Mugil cephalus (flathead mullet), 1452 nucleotides long. RefSeq lists it as uncharacterized. The record is from RefSeq and is a predicted model, not a curated record. The transcript has 3 exons. Lineage: Eukaryota; Metazoa; Chordata; Actinopteri; Mugiliformes; Mugilidae.
UGCUAGUUGAUAUCUGACGGCUAGCCUGCUGGUCGGGUUUUCAGUUGUACUGGGUUUCUAAAUGUGUUUUGCCUUGGGUCUUGGCACUAGGGAUUGUAACAUCUCAUCCUGUGCAACAAUGAAUUCCAGUAGAGUUGUAGACUCGUUUUAUUCAGCAACUGCAUAUCUCUGGACCAGCAGAACCAUGCAGUCUGAUGUCAUUCUACUGUGCAACAUAACAAUAACAGCAAAAUGUCUCCUGUGUUCUGUUUUCCCCCUCAUGGAAACAGGGCAGUGGGAGGAGUGAGAGCACACAACCUGGUUUGACUUGAGGGAUGGCAGCAUUCCAGCACUUCUUCCCUGCUUUACCUUUUCUUUACUCCUGGAUAACAAAGUCACCCACAGAAGUCUUCUCCAAUCCACUCAUGGGCCGGUGUGAAAGAGUAGUGUUAGGGAUGACACGCCACUCACCGGCACCUGUAGGGCAGCCGCAUCAUGAGCUGCUAAUGCAGACAGGUUUAUAUAGCCCGCUGUACGGUGUGUCAGUCUCUCACCUCUACCAAAGCGUAUGGCUGGCAUGCAGCACUGAGGCAUUGGAACCUGGUCGGUAGGUGCUGUGACUUCUGUCCCCAGGUAUGUAACUCUAUGAAAUUUUGAGGAUGUUUAUGGUGUGCGGUUUUAAUGAUGAUCUGUUGCAGGUCGGCGUGUUGGGCUGGCGUGUGCAGGAUUUCUUCCUGUAGGCUGUCGCUGCUGCUAUAGCUGCUUGCGGGGCUAGUGUUCUAACAGCGUGCCUCGCGGCUGCUGGUUGCCCUGCCUUGCCCCUUGCCUCUUGCUACUUUUUUAAAAAAAAUUUUUUAUCUCUUACUAUAUACUUGCUUCGUGUCCUCUGAUUAGUAGUGGUAGUACGGCCGCUCUGAAAAUUCACAAACCCUAUAAAUGAAGUGAUUACGGUAAUUUUAGUAAGUUCAGCCCGACUUGGACUUGAUAGGUGAUGGUGUCUAUUGCCUUUGAGAGGAUCUGCCAAACUUUUGCAUGUUUUUGCAUUGUUCUUCUCUUUUGUUUGUUUUGAGUUUGCAGUUUUGUUGAUCGUUUGGUUUGGAGGCCAGACCUCCUAACCAACGGUGGUGUUACCACUCUCUAUCUACCAGAUCCUUAGGGUGUAACUCUUGAUGAUUACAUGGUGGUUCUUUUUUUGUUGUUGUUUAAAAUAAGAUAGGACUAUAUAAAUGUUUUAUAGGACUAACUUAAAAAAGAUUUUAUUGUGAAGAAUGUGAAAUAAAUUACUUUUUCAUUACAUCGUGCCUGUAUGCAUUUGUGUAAUUACCUGUGCAUGGGUUGUUUUGGGAAACCCUUAAAGAGGAUUUAAUGGUUAAGUUAUUCUUUAGGUGAGAGUCCUGAAGUGGCGUUGUCGGUUAAAUUUGAGAUUCUUUAGAUCUGCCACUCGCAGUCUUUUAUUGCCACAAAGAAAUUAAA